RNAcentral lists this ribosomal RNA (468 nucleotides) under uncultured bacterium. RNAcentral describes it as "partial 16S ribosomal RNA". It matches the Rfam family "Bacterial small subunit ribosomal RNA", at positions 28 to 507 of the family's 1533-position model. The record is from RNAcentral.
GACGAACGCUGGCGGCGUGCUUAACACAUGCAAGUCGAACGGAAAGGCCCUGCUUUUGUGGGGUGCUCGAGUGGCGAACGGGUGAGUAACACGUGAGUAACCUGCCCUUGACUUUGGGAUAACUUCAGGAAACUGGGGCUAAUACCGGAUAGGAGCUCCUGCUGCAUGGGGGGGGUUGGAAAGUUUCGGCGGUUGGGGAUGGACUCGCGGCUUAUCAGCUUGUUGGUGGGGUAGUGGCUUACCACGGCUUUGACGGGUAGCCGGCCUGAGAGGGUGACCGGCCACAUUGGGACUGAGAUACGGCCCAGACUCCUACGGGAGGCAGCAGUGGGGAAUAUUGCACAAUGGGCGGAAGCCUGAUGCAGCAACGCCGCGUGCGGGAUGACGGCCUUCGGGUUGUAAACCGCUUUCGCCUGUGACGAAGCGUGAGUGACGGUAAUGGGUAAAGAAGCACCGGCUAACUACGUG